RNAcentral lists this ribosomal RNA (314 nucleotides) under uncultured bacterium. Its description in RNAcentral is "bacterial SSU rRNA". It matches the Rfam family "Bacterial small subunit ribosomal RNA", at positions 60 to 375 of the family's 1533-position model. The record is from RNAcentral.
AGUCGAGGGGUAGAUUAGCUUGCUAAUUUGAGACCGGCGCACGGGUGCGUAACGCGUAUGCAAUCUGCCUUGUACCGAGGGAUAGCCCAGAGAAAUUUGGAUUAAUACCUCAUAGCAUUAUGAAAUCGCAUGGUUUUAUAAUUAAAGUUCCAACGGUACAAGAUGAGCAUGCGUCCCAUUAGUUAGUUGGUAAGGUAACGGCUUACCAAGACGAUGAUGGGUAGGGGUCCUGAGAGGGAGAUCCCCCACACUGGUACUGAGACACGGACCAGACUCCUACGGGAGGCAGCAGUGAGGAAUAUUUGGUCAAUGGG